UACAGAGGGUGCGAGCGUUAAUCGGAAUUACUGGGCGUAAAGGGCGCGUAGGUGGUCAAUUAAGUUGGAUGUGAAAUCCCUGGGCUUAACCUAGGAACUGCAUACAAUACUGGUUGACUGGAGUGUGGUAGAGGGUAGUGGAAUUUCCGGUGUAGCGGUGAAAUGCGUAGAUAUCGGAAGGAACACCAGUGGCGAAGGCGGCUACCUGGACUAACACUGACACUGAGGCGCGAGAGCGUGGGGAGCAAACAGG
RNAcentral lists this ribosomal RNA (253 nucleotides) under uncultured bacterium. Its description in RNAcentral is "partial 16S ribosomal RNA". It matches the Rfam family "Bacterial small subunit ribosomal RNA", at positions 524 to 776 of the family's 1533-position model. The record is from RNAcentral.